AUAUGUUGAAUGAGAGGAGUCAGAUACUUUAAUGAAGAAUCCAUGGUUCGGCCACAACUCCGAUCCACUCAAUACAGGUACGAUGCUGAUAACUUGUAGCAGCACGGACCUAUACUCGCCUCGAACUUUGACGUUCGAGUUUAUGCUCUGGAGAAGCUUUAUCAGCACUCCUGGUAUCAGAGAUGCCAUGACUUCAGAUCUGUAAGUAAUAACCAUAUAAACAGAAAGUUCAAAUUUACAAAAAUUUCCAGUUUUAUUGUAUCAUUGAUAUCAAGUUUGCAGAAUUGUCAGUAAUGUUAGAUCCACAAAUGAACAGGCUGCCAGAGUUCAGAACACUUGUUGUUACUUUUCUUUUCUUAUAAAUGCAAAUCUUUUUGCAGGUAUUCACUGCUUAGCUGGCUUAUGUGAUGCCAUGCCGGCUAAAGAAGUCAAAGCUUUUUAGCUAUUUGAAGAUCAUAAGAGUUGCAGAAAAUGUAUCAAUCUGCAAGCUAAGAAAUUAAACAAAGCAAAAGCACAAGUUGACCAGACUUACCUCAGAGAAGAAGAGAGCUUUGCAAUAAAGAAUGAAGAUUCUGAGAAGGGCUUAGAAGGGUGUUUGUGUUGCAGGAAUAUGACAGACAAAGUAAGUUCCUUUUGGUGAAAAAUCAGUGUGGCAGACCAAACAAGGGGGAGAAAUUCAUGGUUGAGACAAGUAAUCAUUCAUCAAAGGUUUCUUGGCUUUUAAGGCAAGUGACAAUCAUCAUUUGUUCCAAUUAACUAUUGUACCAAACAAACAUAAUCCUGAGCCUAAUGGGUUAUUUUUUUAAUUAGAAUAACUGAUGCUUGUUCCUGAAGGGAUUGUGGGUGGGAAAUGUUGAUAAUUUAAAUGUUAGGUGUGAUUAUAAACUAUAGGUAUGAUGGGGAAUUCGGUAGACCAGUUCCACUGAUUUCUCAAAUUUAAGGGCAGGUGGAGUAACGUAGAACAUCACAAUCGCAAAUUUACCUGUUUGUUGCGACGGAAAAAUUAAUCGGGUCACAAGUUUAUUG
RNAcentral lists this long non-coding RNA (1026 nucleotides) under Linum usitatissimum (flax). RNAcentral describes it as "long non-coding RNA (LUSI_LNC006816)". Lineage: Eukaryota; Viridiplantae; Streptophyta; Magnoliopsida; Malpighiales; Linaceae. The record is from RNAcentral.